GGAGGAUUAGCUCAGCUGGGAGAGCACCUGCCUUACAAGCAGGGGG
This 46-nucleotide transfer RNA is filed under the name Ureibacillus sinduriensis BLB-1 = JCM 15800. Its description in RNAcentral is "Lysinibacillus sinduriensis BLB-1 = JCM 15800 tRNA". It matches the Rfam family "tRNA", at positions 1 to 45 of the family's 71-position model. From Rfam's summary of the family: Transfer RNA (tRNA) molecules are approximately 80 nucleotides in length. Their secondary structure includes four short double-helical elements and three loops (D, anti-codon, and T loops). The record is from Rfam by way of RNAcentral. Lineage: Bacteria; Bacillati; Bacillota; Bacilli; Caryophanales; Caryophanaceae.